ACAUGAGUUGUGUAAUUGCUGUAAAUAUGGACGUAAAGCAACGUGCAGACUUUAGGUGGGCAUGCAAGAAGUUAUGGGAUGUCCAUAAAGAAAUCUGCAAAUAUCG
Small nucleolar RNA from Andrographis paniculata, 106 nucleotides. Lineage: Eukaryota; Viridiplantae; Streptophyta; Magnoliopsida; Lamiales; Acanthaceae. The record is from RefSeq and is a predicted model, not a curated record.